GAUGAACGCUGGCGGCGUGCCUAAUACAUGCAAGUCGAGCGAACGGACGAGAAGCUUGCUUCUCUGAUGUUAGCGGCGGACGGGUGAGUAACACGUGGAUAACCUACCUAUAAGACUGGGAUAACUUCGGGAAACCGGAGCUAAUACCGGAUAAUAUUUUGAACCGCAUGGUUCAAAAGUGAAAGACGGUCUUACUGUCACUUAUAGAUGGAUCCGCGCUGCAUUAGCUAGUUGGUAAGGUAACGGCUUACCAAGGCAACGAUGCAUAGCCGACCUGAGAGGGUGAUCGGCCACACUGGAACUGAGACACGGUCCAGACUCCUACGGGAGGCAGCAGUAGGGAAUCUUCCGCAAUGGGCGAAAGCCUGACGGAGCAACGCCGCGUGAGUGACGAAGGUCUUCGGAUCGUAAAACUCUGUUAUUAGGGAAGAACAUAUGUGUAAGUAACUGUGCACAUCUUGACGGUACCUAAUCAGAAAGCCACGGCUAACUACGUG
RNAcentral lists this ribosomal RNA (497 nucleotides) under uncultured bacterium. Its description in RNAcentral is "partial 16S ribosomal RNA". It matches the Rfam family "Bacterial small subunit ribosomal RNA", at positions 28 to 507 of the family's 1533-position model. The record is from RNAcentral.